UGGCGGACGGGUGAGAAACGCGUGGGAACGUACCCUUUGCUACGGAAUAGCCUCGGGAGACUGGGAGUAAUACCGUAUGAGCCCCGAGAGGGGGAAAGAUUUAUCGCCUUGGGAGCGGCCCGCGUCGGAUUAGCUAGUUGGCGAGGUAAAGGCCCACCAAGGCGACGAUCCGUAGCUGGUCUGAGAGGAUGAUCAGCCACACUGGAACUGAGACACGGUCCAGACUCCUACGGGAGGCAGCAGUGGGGAAUAUUGGACAAUGGGGGCAACCCUGAUCCAGCCAUGCCGCGUGUGUGAAGAAGGCCUUCGGGUUGUAAAGCACUUUUGUUGGGGAAGAAACCGGCCGGGUUAAUACCCUGGUUGAAUGACGGUACCCAAAGAAUAAGCACCGGCUAACUUCGUGCCAGCAGCCGCGGUAAU
This 420-nucleotide ribosomal RNA is filed under the name uncultured Pseudomonas sp. RNAcentral's name for it is "bacterial SSU rRNA". It matches the Rfam family "Bacterial small subunit ribosomal RNA", at positions 96 to 524 of the family's 1533-position model. The record is from RNAcentral. Lineage: Bacteria; Pseudomonadati; Pseudomonadota; Gammaproteobacteria; Pseudomonadales; Pseudomonadaceae.